UACGGGGGGGGCAAGCGUUGUUCGGAAUUACUGGGCGUAAAGGGUCUGUAGGUGGCUUGCUAAGUCAGACGUGAAAUCCCUCGGCUUAACCGGGGAACUGCGUCUGAUACUGGCGAGCUUGAGUGCAGGAGAGGAACGCGGAAUUCCAGGUGUAGCGGUGAAAUGCGUAGAUAUCGUAAGGAAGACCAGUGGCGAAGGCGGGUCUCUGGACAGUUCCUGACGCUGAGGCACGAAGGUCAGGGGAGCAAACGGG
This 253-nucleotide ribosomal RNA is filed under the name uncultured bacterium. RNAcentral describes it as "partial 16S ribosomal RNA". It matches the Rfam family "Bacterial small subunit ribosomal RNA", at positions 524 to 776 of the family's 1533-position model. The record is from RNAcentral.